This 2519-nucleotide long non-coding RNA is filed under the name Spirodela polyrhiza (greater duckweed). Its description in RNAcentral is "long non-coding RNA (SPOL_LNC001111)". The record is from RNAcentral. Lineage: Eukaryota; Viridiplantae; Streptophyta; Magnoliopsida; Alismatales; Araceae.
UGGAAAGCAUAUAAAAGGAAAGAAUGAGGGUCACUCAGCUAGGGAAAUAUGUCAAGAAGAUUCCCAAAUAUAGCACAAAAAAAUGUUGACCUACCCCCUCCCCUCUCCCCUUCCCCCCCCCCGGACCCGGUGGCUUCAUUCCCAGUUGGACAGGACCUGCCUAGUCAACGGUGUCCCCAGAGAUGCUGACUGGGCUCCGGGGGCGCCCUAUGGGACGCGGGUGGGCCCCGCAGGCACUGCAGUCGGCUCCUGCGACAUCAGUUGACCUGAGAAAACAUGGUAAAUAGUAAUGCAGCUGAUUAAAUAGCAGCGAGGAAUUUUCUAGAAAGUACGAACAGUGGUUCCAUAAAAAUGCGGCGCAGACAAAAAAAAAACCAUGGCCAGUCCAUUCGGCACUCAAAUGAGCGGACCCCGCAGACUCGCCAUUUUUAGCAGUUGACUUUGUAGCAUUUGGUCAAAACAUGGGCGUCUGUCGACGGAGGAUCUCAGCACAGCCUUGUAGAACAGAGAGGAAAACGCCGGCGGAGGCAUCCAGAGAAAUGGAAUGCGUCGUCUGGAUUGAUCAAGGAAGGGGGCGCUCAUAGAGAUCUUCAAACAGCUCUGGGAAGAACCCUAGAAAACCUAUAAACCAACUAGAAAUCGGAUAAAAGGCGCCGCCAAGAACAGCCAAUGUAGAGCCAGAGUGUUGACUAUUUCGCGCCAAAAAAGAUACGCAUAUCACACAGUCUUCACCCAAGCCAAUGAGGGUUCUCCCAGGACAAAAAAUGUUAACAUGGGUUCAGAGUUCAUGGACUCUGUGGAACCCAGGUGGAGCGCGCAGCAAGCAAUGCGACGACCAAAGGUCAAACGAAGGCGCCAAUCUAAGAUGAACCGAAAUGGAAAUAUGAAAGGGCUAAUAAAAAAACAAGAAAAAAAGAAAGGGUUCCAAAGCAAAGCAUCCAAGACAGAAUUAAAUCCCAUUAGAACAUCUCUCCGUUUCGAUUCCAGACCACACCACCUUCCCAGAAACAGGAAUCAACCUAAUAUCAUCUUCCGUUUCCAUGGUGUCUAGUCAACUCUGACCAAAAUGGUUGCCAGGGAAGCAUUCACCGGCGUUGACCAGUCGAGUGGGAAAAAAAACUCACGUGGGGCAUUGAGAAUUUGUAGAAAAGGGCAUCGCAUCGAAACCCAGUUUGAUAUCACUAUGAGCAUACGGACAGCCAUAUUUUUGAUAGCCCGGAAACCAAUCAAUCAAAAGAUCUGUCACUAACCCUCCGAGUUCCUUUAAGAUCAUCGAAACAAAGCAUAUGAGGAACAACUCACUGGAGUAGGCCUUCAUAAUAAUAAUAAUAAUAAUAAUAAUAAAAGAUAGCCAGCACAGCACAUUGAUUUCAAAAACGUAUCGAUUACCCAGAACUGAGGCCUUCGUGCCCAGCAUAAUCAGCUAAAUGUGGCCUGCCUCCCUCGGAUUGCCGGCACUGAGGCACAGCCAACCGAGAUCCAUUAUGGCACUGAGGCAUCAAAAACACUUUGGUCUCCACAGCUGAAUCGCUGGUAAACGCUUCACAAUGGGAAAUCUCCUCCCAUAUGUGAAAUCACACGUACAGAAAAUCAUAAUGAUCUGGGCAUUCUGCUAAACAUGCAGAAUUGAUUCAGAAUCCAGGAUAUCCGGUUCCCCUCGCAGCUGGAAGAAAAGAUGAGACCAGGAGCCCAAAGGGCUCGAGGAGAAUAAGAGCAUCUACGCAAGGGGAGAGCUGUUCAGAGAUGCCUCCAUGGCCUUAUGGAUACGGCGUUGCCAGGGGCUGCCCUAUUUUCCAAGGCUAGGGAAGCAGGGGAUGCUCUGCAAGAGGAUCAAAGCGGGCAAGCACUAAAGAGGGAAAAAAAGGGCGGAAGAGGCUCAAUCUUCUUUAUUGUUUGAUAUAGUUUGGGGGGGGAUCUACGGCACGCCAUCGUGCAGCAGCACGAGGAGGACAGGAGCAAGGAGAUGAACGCUACGGAGAACAGCUGAGUGGAAGCAUGUACAAGAGAAGAGAGAGAGAGACGACAUGCACAUCGGAGGAAUGCGCCAAGAACCCCCAAGAGGAUGUCAUCACGCGUCGGAUGCUCAUACAAGGGUGAGGAAGUGAGGGAGAACCCAUGUUCAACUGACCUGCAUAUUCUUUGGCGGAGAUUCCACUCUGGCAGCCGCCCUCCAUCCACAGAGGAGGCGACAGUGAGUUGACCAGCGCCGGCGCCACCACCAGAGGCCGCCAUGACGGGGAGCAUCCGCCGUGGAGCCGCCAGCUCUCACUUCCCGCAGCAGCGCUGACCGGCAGGCUCUCGUCGUGACCGCCGUUUAGAGGAGCCCUCGGCACCAGCUCGCGCCGCUCCAACGUCAGCUUCCACCCCCUCCCCGUUGCCCCUCAGUCUCGGUUUCUCUCCGAAGCCUUUGUUCUGCUUUCGUCGGGAUGGAAGGCAAGAGGGGAGAGAGAGAGAGAGAGAGAGAGAGAGAGAGAGAGAGCAGUGGAACUGCAACAGGGUCCCCCCAACUUCCCCUCUUC